GAGGAAUGUAUAGCAAUAGCUACUUGCAUCAUUGUAAAUAUGAUGCAAGAUCGACUAUGUCGAAUAAAAUUCUAGGUAGAAUUAUGAUAAUGACAUUGUCUGCCUAUGUGUCUUGACCAAAUUACGUGCCAGCAGUCGCGGUAAUACGUAGAAGACUAGUGUUAUUCAUGUUUAAUCGGUUUAAAGGGUACCUAGACGGUAAAUCAAGCCUAAAAGGAAAGAAAUGAAGGGACUAAUUUACUAGAGUUACUUAUGAGGGGGUAUUAAAGUACUGCUGGUGUAGAGAUGAAAUUCUGUCAUACCUCUUUUCAAUAGAAAAAUAAUGGCACAGGUAUAGGCGAAAGCAUCCCCUUAUGUGAUAACUGACGUUGAGGGACGAAGGCUUUGUGUAGCGAACAGGAUUAGAUACCCCAGUAGUCAAAGCAGAAAAUGAUGAAUGUCAUAGAUUAGAUAUAUAAGUUUAUUCUAUAAAUGAAAGUGUAAGCAUUCCACCUCAAGAGUAAUUUGGCAACAUUGGAACUGAAAUCAUUAGACCGUUUCUGAAACCAG
This 549-nucleotide ribosomal RNA is filed under the name Cetraria islandica. Its description in RNAcentral is "SSU rRNA". It matches the Rfam family "Bacterial small subunit ribosomal RNA", at positions 356 to 929 of the family's 1533-position model. The record is from RNAcentral. Lineage: Eukaryota; Fungi; Ascomycota; Lecanoromycetes; Lecanorales; Parmeliaceae.